This 87-nucleotide transfer RNA is filed under the name Bdellovibrionales bacterium. RNAcentral describes it as "tRNA-Ser". It matches the Rfam family "tRNA". Rfam says of the family: Transfer RNA (tRNA) molecules are approximately 80 nucleotides in length. Their secondary structure includes four short double-helical elements and three loops (D, anti-codon, and T loops). The record is from RNAcentral. Lineage: Bacteria; Pseudomonadati; Bdellovibrionota; Bdellovibrionia; Bdellovibrionales.
GGAGAGAUGGCCGAGCGGCUGAAGGCGCUUGAUUCGAAAUCAAGUAUACAUGCAAGUGUAUCGGGGGUUCGAAUCCCCCUCUCUCCG